This 161-nucleotide ribosomal RNA is filed under the name uncultured bacterium. Its description in RNAcentral is "partial 16S ribosomal RNA". It matches the Rfam family "Bacterial small subunit ribosomal RNA", at positions 1340 to 1500 of the family's 1533-position model. The record is from RNAcentral.
AAUCGCAGAUCAGCAUGCUGCGGUGAAUACGUUCCCGGGCCUUGUACACACCGCCCGUCACACCAUGGGAGUCGGUAACACCCAAAGUUGGUAGCCUAACCGCAAGGAGGGCGCCGCCUAAGGUGGGAUUGAUGACUGGGGUGAAGUCGUAACAAGGUAGC